AAAUCAUAAAAAAAAAAAAAAAAAAAAACAACAGAAGUGUCCUGCUGGAGAUAAGAUAGAUGCUGGUGUGGAGCAUCUGGGAGCAGUGAAAGAGGAAGGUUAGACCAGCAUUGCUGAGAUUAUUACUGAAACCAAGAUUAUAAGUAAUUAAGGUUUUGAAAGUUUGGUCCAGGUGCACAAUAGACUACUCAGUAUCUUGGAUUCCUGAGCUGGGGUCAGGUUAACUAUUAAAAGAGGACCAAACAUAUUUCUAACAAAACCCGCAGUUUACUUAAAGCCCACGCAAUUCCUGCUGCUGCUUUAGAACGCCUUGCUUUGAGCCUUCUCUUCUGGGCUCUCGGGAGAUCUAAUGUUGACCCCCUUGCGGGCCUAGAUUAACGAUGUCUUGCUUCGGUGUGGUGUUAAAUCGGCCUGCGCACGUUCCACCCGGGAUGGAUGUCCCUCACCGCAACGUUCGCUGCGAUCAAACGGACGCACGGCCCCAGGAUUAAUGGGGACCCGCUAUCACUGCAUUUCUUCUUCACCCUGAACUCCCUCUGCAAAGACUAAGUGCUGGGCCUGCACGCAGAUGCUUGCUGGCUGGCUUCCUCAGAAAGAACAGAUUGCAGAAGCACGCAAGCCGUAACUGCCAUGUACCUAGAAUCUACUUUAUCGGGCCUCCUUUUGCAGGAGCUUUGAUCUGGAGGAUGCGGUCACAUUUUGCUUGGAGGUACGAAUUGUCUAGAAAAACCCAAAAAAGAAGAACACGCCCUUAAAUAACUCCUCAAACUGAAUUUAAAAAAUUCCUGGGCCUCAGCCCAGAGCUACUGACUGAGAAAAUCUGGGAGCGAGUCUGGAAGCCGCCUCUUUACCAAUAUCUUCAGGUGAUGCCGAUGAAGCUACAUUGAAAACAUCACUGAGAUCAAGCGUAGGAAGCCAACCCCUCGCUCAGGACUUGAUACACAGGAAGAGCUUAAGAAAUGCCAACCUUCCUUCCUGCCCCCUCCACCUCUUUGCACGGGACCCGUGAAGAAAGAAACAGAGGACGACCGAUUGCAUUUGAUGCAACAAUGACCAUUUCAUGUGACAACAGCAAAAAAAUCAAGUGGUAAGUUGUUUUCUACACUGAAGAACUCACCAGUCACCUCCGGCUGUAAGUGAUGUUGGCUGUUCGGGUUAUAAAACUGUCUGCUUUAUUGAUUUAUCUCCUUCGUUAUGCAUUUGGGCACAACUGCAUUGUGCGUGAUUCAGAUCUGCUAAUGCGUGUGCCGGGGCAGAGAGGGGCUGGAGGGAGACACAUCGUGCUAUGUGACAGAGGGAACUCCCUAGAGAUAGUCAUGCAAACCUGAGACUUCAAUGAACAGAAAGAACCAGUGACUUUGUAGCAAACGCACCAGACUGAUGUUCUUUUUUUUUCUUCUUCUUUCUUCCAAUUAUAAAGGGAGUGGACAGAGGGAAUGUACUAGAUGUAAUUUGUUCCAGGUUCAAAAAAGCGUAUUUGUGCCUUAUGAAAUCUUAUGAGAAAAGUGGAAUUCAAAUUGGCUUGGAGAUGAGAGCUGUCAAAUAGAUUGAAAGCUGGAUUAUAAACCAAGACUAAUGAGAGCCUACGAUGUGCGCAAAGUUAGGGAUGGAGUCCAAGAGGAUCGCUACAAGGUCUUACAGGGGAGGUAAACAGCCUAUUAAGGUAGCAGAUGGUGGUAAAUUGGGAGAUGUUUCAGAUUCCAAGGACAAAAAAAAAAAAAAAAGAAAAAGAAAAGAAAUGAAAGCAUGGGAUCUGUAUUGGGUAGUUAGAAACCCCAGCACGAAAUCAAUGACAGGAAAAUAGUAAGAGCCGCAGGUAGUCUUGGAAGAGAGCGGUGUUUGGAGUACCAUGGGAGUUAAAAAGAGACGAGAAAUGUUAGUGGAAUGGCUUAGAAGCUGCUGGAGAGAGUGAUCCAUGAUGCAGUAGCAUAGUUUCAGGGACCCAGCAGGUUGGCUUGGGUAUGUGUGGUAACGAGUUUCUGGGUAAGGUUGGUCUUAAGAUCUCCCCAGUGAGCAUUUGCAGACAAGGAAGUUGCCUGAGUAGAAGGAGCGAAGUUGCAUGUAAACUGCAGGAGUUGUGAAGUUGCAUCGUGAAGUAAAUUAGUGUAGGGGGAAAAAGUAGGCGGGUGAGAUAACCAGUGUGAUUUGACCAGGAUAAGAAGGCGAAGGGAUCAAGGAGAAUAAGGGUUUUGGACCGCGCAGAUUGGGGACCAUCACUGACUCUUCUAUUUACCUUCAGGUAAUUGCUUAGCCUUUCGGAGUCUUUUCUCCACUAAUAAAGCGAGGACAAGAUUUCUUACCUUCCAUAAGUAUUGUCAUUCGGGUGAGAUUUGUGUACCGAUCAGCAGGAACAUGGUAAGUUUUGAACCCAGGCAGGCUCGUCCUUCCAUAACGAAUGCGAUCUGUACCUACUUUUAGAAGGAGGUGGUGAGAGGUGGUAGGGGAAACUUUGGGAAGCAAAUAAAUGUUCCCAUUUCUCAUCUUCUAGAAGUUGGUUGUACUCUGUUCUUAUUACAAUGGAGUCUCAUCUGACUCAGGGGUUAGAUUCAAAAGCCAUCCCGUGAGGCGAGGAUCACGUAUGGUCAAAACUAUCCUUGAAAAUGCCUGAAGGUGCCCAUAAAAUAUACUACUGUGCUGUCUCUCAAAGAGUUCUCUCCAGCCAGUUCUUCUUCCAGUGUCGGGACGGAUUAAAUUUCUUCUUUUGCAGCCGAGCACCAGGCGACGUCGUUGGCUUGCGCUUUGGGCCACGCUCUACGAAAAAUGCUUAACUUUUGACAUGAAGACGGCACCUGGCCUGGAGGGCCGCUCACACCAGAGGGGCGCCCUGGAAGGCAGGGCAGGGGCUGGGGCUCCCACGUCAUGCUGACUCCACACCCCUGCCGGGCAGGUCCUAGACGCUUAAUCUUUUCAGGACAUCUCAUCACCUUCCAGCAUCUGAAAUCACCAUGUUUGCCUGCAACGUGUGGACUAGGGAGAAAUGACUGUUUCAGUUGUGCAGGCUAGUCCACCACCUUUCAUCCAAGAAAUCCGUGUCCCAAAGUGACUUUCUGACAGUUGGUAUUCAAUGCCUUACGGCAUUGUUGAGAAUGCUGAAGAAGCAGACUAGGUUGUCCAUUCAAGAAAGAGUCCCACAUCUGGAGUGCAGAACUGACUGAAAUAUGGGCUCUUCGAUGGAAAGGAAGCCAGUGGUUCCUGCCAUCCAGAAGCCAUUCUAUGCAGGAGGCCACUGCUGCUCCCGCCGGGUCCAGAAGCAGCCCAUAUCUGCUGUAAUCCACACCAGCAAAGCAGAUGCCCUGACACCCGUGGAGCUUGAGACCCUAGCACUGCUACAAGGGAGCUAAAUGGCUCCACGGAUAAGCUUAGCCGUUGAGAGAGACGACAAAAGGACUACUUCUACCUUCUUCCACCUUCCCAAGCAUACACACUUGCAUCUGAUGGGCUGAGGCUAAGUGACAUCAGUAACCCUAGUUGCAGAGGAGUCUGGGAAAUGUAGUUUUUAGCUUUCUAGCCUCUACAACUCAAGUGGGCAUCCAAGAAGGAGAGUGGAAUUGUGUCGGGUGCCAAUGGUUGUUGGGAACCAACCUACCACAUUAGGGCUGCCCCGUUGGCAGAGCUAGCUGCAGGAUGGUGAGUGGAGCUUCUGGGUAGAACAGUUAAUGCUCAGGUGAGGAGUAGGGUGUGGACGUGGCUGAAAGCCAAACUCUCCCAUCCUCUGCCUUUACAGAACCGUGAGCACACCUGCUGUGCAACCCCUCCCUGCCCCAGGAAGCAGCCUUCUUUGCAUGUCCUGUGCUAGGUGGAGUGGGCAGCGCGGCAUGGUUCAAGGCACUGUGGGCAAAGGUUCUGGUUACCCUUUGCCACUGACAACGUGCAAUGAAGCACGCUUCUUCUUCAGUAAACAAGGGUCUGGCCGAGGCCUCUCGUCGCACUUAACAACCUCUAAAUUUAUAAGAAACAGACUCACUUGUGGUCACUUCAUUCCAGAGCUACAUUGGAGAAAUAACAUAUUUCUUUUCAAUAUCAACGUUGUCAAAACCACAGUAGCUGGGUUUGCAUGGUUUCUGGUAAAACGGUGGCUGUUAAAACUAUGUCAGUGCAAACGUGGACAUAAAUAGAUAAUAAAUCCUGAUAGGUCUAUAGGACUGCUAUAUUUAGAUUCAAACCUGUUCACCCUCACAAGAUAAAGCUCCGUUUGAUGGCUCAGCUUCCCAAACCGGGCAAAGGUUCAGAAAUGGAAGGUUUGUGGAUUUCAUUGUGAAGUAAACAGAAAGUAGAGGCAGUAAUCUAGAGUGUCAGUGUUGAUGCUGAAUUUUACUGUUGGAGCCCGGGUCUGCCCCCGCCCCUUCCCCAGUCUUUGGCCCUGUAGAGGUCAGGUGUAACUUCCUGAAUUCUGUUAGCCUGACAUUUCAAGGGCUUAGAGCCAUUUAAAAAAGGUGAAUAUGCAUGCAAUGACCAACGUGUCGGGGCCAACAUUUAGCUUCUGUUUAAGAACUCCUAGGGGCUGAAGUGAUUUUCCUAAGCAUAGGCAAGCCUGGUUGAAGAAACCCAAACGUACAAAUGUUUGAUCAGGGGCUUUAAAUGAGAGUAUUUACAUGGAAAAAUAUCUAGUAUCAUAGCAGGUGGCUUCCUUCUGCAUUUUACAUGAAUAAGCCUCUCUUGGCUCUCCAGAAAUCCACCCUUUAUAGGGCGUGAAGCCCCCCAGAGCAGGCAAAGCUCUCCUCUGGGAAUGUGUAUUUUCUUGGUUGCUUGUGGUAUUUGCUGUUUGUUUUAGGUUCUCAGUUAAGAAGCCAUUGAGAACAAGAGGGGAACUUCAAGUUCAUGUAGCUCAACUCCCCAGUUGGAAAGAGCCAGUGGGAGAAUGAAGUCAAAGCAGGAAAGCCUUGUGGGAGAUCCUGACUGUCAUCUGAUCGUCAGCCGUGCGUGGUCCCCCUCUUGCCCUCGGCCACCUGUGCCUUCAGCUCACCUCUUGGACCUUGAGUUUCUGCAAGUCAGUCAAUUCCUUCCCACUCCCAUUUCACUCCCCCCCCCAGUUUUUUCUUUCUUUGAAGCAACCUGUGUUAUGUUUUCCCAGUGGGUCAGCAUCCUGGACAUUUUACCCAAGUGGCUUGGAGGUAGUCCUGCUUAUCUUAGCUUCUGAAUCUAACCAGUCCUUAAUUAUUAUCAUCACUUGACCAAAUCCCCUUCUCUCUUCUCUCUACCUUCAUCCACACCCACUCCCAGAAAUGGAUAGGUCUUGGCUGGGCCAGGGGUGAGGACCCCUAGGCCAGUGUGAGCACUUUCUCAUCCAGGGCAGCAAGGAUGCCCAGAGAAGCCAGUGGCGGAGGGGUCACAGCAGGAAGCUGUAGGUCCUCCAACCAAAGGAGUCACUGGCAGGUGUUGGAGACAGGAGAUUGGACUUUGAGACAGCAGAGAACAACCUCAAGGGCAGGGCCAGGGAGCUUGGCUUGAGCAGGGUCGCUCCUUCAUGCCAUCAGAGCCAGUGGGGGACUCAGCACGGUGUGCAGUCCAGGAUGAACAUUUGGCACCUGCUGCGAUUUUAGCACUGUGUAUGUGUGCGUAUGUGUGUGCACACGCCUGCAAAAAUGCAAGUGUGUGUGCAGGGACCUACGAGUGACAUGAGGCUCAAGACCCAGUCCUUAGCGAUGGUUUCCAAUCCGUUUGGAAAUACGCGAGACCCAUCUUACACAGCAGGCCGUGUAUUAAGCGCCACAUUAUGGUGGACAGAGAGCUAAACUGGUAAUGAGGGUGCCGCCCAGUUCUAACCCUCUAUCUGUUCCUUAACUUGGCUAUGUGGGCCUCCAUUCGCUCUCCUGUAAUGUGGAGGGAUGGGAGUGAACAGUGACAAACAAAACGAAUCUGAAAAGAAAGGUGACACAGAUGGGGGAGGGUGCACAGAGCAUGUGAAUUUCCACAGAGCAAACAUGGGAAUUUGUGGUAUCGAUACCACCCAAGUCAAGCAAUGGAUCAAUACCAGUGUCCAGAGGCCACUUUCAAUCCCCCUCCAGAUCACUGCAUGCUCUUCUCUCCAGAGGCCGCCACGGUGGUCUCAAUGGUCUGGAAGUCCCUUUCAGCUAUAACAUUGAGUAACCCUACACAUAAUAGGUAUAGACAGAAGACCACCGCGGCACCGGCCAAAGCUGUUAAAAACUGGAACUCUGUUGCAUAAGUUCCUUGACAUAGUUUUACAACAAUGAGUAUGUAGGGCCCAGAUUGUUUCUUUGGCCAUCAGAAUCCUACUUUUUUUUUUUUUUGAACAACUGAGCAUGAUCAACCAAGUUCCUAUAUCUGCGCUCUCCCCUGUGUCCUUGGCUCUGUGGUUCUGAGGUUGUACUCUGGGUCAGAAAAUUCCUGCCUUCAUCCCAAAGUUCAGUACCAAGUACAGAGCUAUUUUUUUCUGGUGGUGCAAAAUUGAGCUGGGUGGGUACAUCAUGGUGCUAAGCUAUUCCUCAGGGCUGCCAAAUUGUGACUUGGCGUGUGUACUUAUGCCCGUAAAAGGUUGCCUUAAGCACAGAGGAAGGGCAAGCAUCGUGAUUACACACACACACACACACACACACACACACACAGAAAGCAUGGCCACCAGUAUGAUACCCACACGAUGCACCCAUUCAAACGAUGUUUGCAAAAGGAAAUGGAUUUGAAAAUUCUUUGAAUGGAAAAAAUGGGGCUGGAUACUGUUCAGAGACAAAUUUGUACACGAGGUUUUACUGAAAAGCUGGUUUCCAGCAAGGCUUAGGAUCGUUUCGCUGUGGCUUUCACUGUAUUAGAGCUUCCUAACCUCUUCCAGUUAGUGACGCAGUUGGAACUUCUGAUCACUCACGAGGGAGCGAGUGACCUUCUUUGUCUCUUUCAAUCUACCCAGCAGGUCGGCCUUGUUGGAUCGCGUCUCCCCUUAUGCUCCCUGCCUUGGUGCUAGAGCACAUCUGGCCACACGUACACACACGUACACGUGCGCGCACACAGACCCCAGCCGCCUUCACUAUCUCUCCGUUCCAGCCCUGGCUACUUCUGCCCAGCAACCAAGCCUGGCCUGUCCCGCGGCCUGCUGGUUGGAAAAAUGUUGAAGAAGACGGUCCUAGGGGUUUCCUUCUGACCCCGAAGCACGGAGACACGGUGCCGGUAAUGUGCUGAAGCUCACACUCCAUGUCUUCCCUGCAAGGACAGAAGUAAUUGUCACCAUAUGGGGCCUUUCAUGCGGGGGGGGGGGGGGUAUCACAUGUGGAGCUGGAGAAGGUGGUAGUUAUAUUGCGUAGUUCGAGGACUAGGGAGUUUCCCAGCUCCUAAACCUCUUCCCUCUUCUCUAUCCCACCUGCCCGUCACAGCAACCAAUGUGCACCUGCUCAGCUCCGCUCCUAUGCACUGUGAAUGAUUUUUGGUCAUCAGGAGUUUCCUACUAAAAGGUGUGCAUUCCAGCCUUUACGGCCAAUACCUCGAAGGGAUCAGACUAGUGAGGAUCUGUGGAGGGGGGCGGCCAGGGGCUAGGGACGGCUUUGCUUCAUAAGAGUUGAUGGAAGGCUGAACGCCAGUAUUGCGACAGGCAGAGGGGGACAUCCUUCUUCCAGGUAAGCACCAGGUACAGAUUGGUAUGGUCUCCCAGCUGGUAGUGGGACUGAGGCUUUCUGGAGCCACGAUCAGGUGCUAAUCCCAGCCAGUUGAAGGCCUGCCAUAGGUGACUUCCUGCCUGUUUGUUACUUGGUGCUUCUAUUUCUCCGUGGCGAGAAAGAAGGCACCCUUCUGGAUUUAUGUGGGUAUAGAGGACGACCUUUGGGGACACACUCAAGCUUGUUCAGUGUCCUCGAUCUGCAUGAAGGAGAGUGCCUCCCCAAUGCAACCUCCUGAUGGGCUCGACGCAAGCCCUUACAAAAACACGAACGUGUUUAAGAGAAGUAAAGCAAAGUCAUUUUUGAAUGUGAGUCCAUGCAAGACUGCAAAUGAAAAUAUAGAGCGAAACUCGAUCAAACCUGGCCCCUCUCUCGCAGGCUUCCUCGGGGGUGGAGGAGAUGUCUGCAGACUGGAAAAUGUAAUUUCAAGGGGGCCUGGAGAGAGACAGCAAUAAAGACCCGUGUGUUUUAUUGCACAUUCUGAGGGGGAAAGGCUUAGGAAGUGCCUUAAUGGAGGAAAUGAGAGAUGGUUCUAGAGGACAGAGCUUGAUAAAAGGAAGGCGGCCCAAGCUCUCAACAGGAGAGGUCAUGCCUCUUUAAUUUGUUGGAAUUCAUGAAGGGUUUGUUGUAGCUGCAGCAAAGCAAAAGUCGUGGGCUGUUCGAGUUUCUAUCUAUCAGUGUUGAUGAAGCAGAGAUGGAAAGACGCUGUAGCUAGUUAUCAAGUAAACAGCGGUGAGCUGAUGAAUGUUUACCGGCUGGCUCCAGGGACGGGGUGGCCCGGAGCCCUGAUCUGUAGUUUUGCCGAUUUCCGUGGUGUAAAUACUCCCACUGUGGCUGACCUCAGGCUGCCCACGUGACGUCACUGAACACAGACCUGGGAAGAGAUACACAGAAUGCGCUCUGGUGAGCUGGUGCGGGCCAGCUCCAGCCCGGCCCGGCCCUGCCCUGCCUGAACAACCCGGUCAGUGGUCAGCUUUUUUUUUCCUUUGGCGUUGAUGUGGGGUCAGGGAGCCAGGAGCCGCCGGUCCGCUUGUCCUUCCUCAGACAGGAGCUGACAGCCUGCUUCAGGAUGGCAGGCCCGGCUGUUUUAGGUAGCACGAGACUUGGGCUGGGGAGGAGAGCCAGAUAUAGGUCCCCCAAUCCAACGCCCCACCCGUGUCUCCUGAAGCUGUGAUUUAAAUUUGUAAUGUUUUAAAAUUAUUCCUGAAGAAUCCGAAAUGCUUCGGAGAAAUUCCGGUAAGCCCAGAGGAUUCUGAGCACAGCAUGGGACGCGCACAGCAAGGGCAUAUUGGGCCUUCAGGGAAAGCUCCCCUUUACUUGAAAUGAACUCUUUUCAGUGACGUGUGAGCUGACCGUGGGUAACAGGACCAACAGGGGUCGUGGGGUCAUCCCCCUCCUAGUCGUGGUCAGUGAAGGUUGUUUAGAAAGGACGGACUCUGGCUUCCCUUGGAACUCCUAUUUGCGUUCCAUAUGUCUUGCAUUUUAAAAAAGUGCAGACCUGAAUUAGAAUGUUCUGUCCUGUUACCCCGAAAGUACAAUCAUACUUGUCAGACCAAACGGGCUCUGUUUAGACCACUUGCGAGGCACCUUUCCUUUGAGUGUAGGGUUUUACUUCUCCAGGCUUUGGAGUACUGGGCAGUUCCCCUCACAGAAGCCAUGAGAAAGGGGAGGUCACAUGCGAGCCCCUUGACCUUUGCAGGGAGAAGCCCUACGUUUUGGGCGUCAGAGAGAAAUUCUGAUUGGACAAAGGCUUCUGUAGCUAAUGAAACAUAAACAACAAAAAACCUAAGCCACCCUCCCCCGGCAAAAAAAAAAAAAAAAAAACCUAAAAACAAACCUAUAAAAAGGAAAAUCUGCUGUUUAAUGGCUUAUUCCUGUUUGGUAUUUUCUCUAAUUUAUCCCAUGCUUACGGGACACUUGUGUCUUUUCAACCUAAAGACUGGAGAGCUAGGAGGUCCAUUAUGCAAUUUAUUCUACAUGUAUUUAUUGCUAAGUGCUGGAAAAAUAAAUAAGACCCAGCGACUCUGUCCUUAAGCUAUUCACUAUUUAGAAAGGCAUGCAGAACCUUGGAGAAAUUGGCACUUAGGUCAGGAGGCAGAGGGGAGCCAUGGGCAGGGUGUGGUCAGGGGCAUGACACAGGCAGAGCUACCUUCUUAGAAACGGGUGUGGGAAGGUGGGUUGGGACCACAGACCAGGAGCAGUGCCCACCCAAGUUUCAGGAUGGAGGUCAUAACAGUCCAUGCUGGUGGAGAUAGUGGGAAGGGAGAGAAGAAGUGAAUAGGGUGUGAGUAGUUUCAUAGAGAGAAACACCAGUGUUAGAGGAAGUAUUCAGAAGGGCAGGAUGACGAGCCCAAUUGAAUGGUCUAGCUUGAGAGGAGACAGGGAGAAAUGGGUAUAUUUUCCAUGAGUGUCUGGUGUUUCUGAACAUCCGUGAGCAUGGGCACCGACAGCUUUUGUUCCAGACUAUCUUUUCAAGGACAUUUGUCUAGCCAACAGCCUUGGAGGAUAGAGAGUGUUGUCCUCUGGAGCAGAAGGUAAGUCUGUUUGCUCUCCAGGACACUCAAGAUAAUGUCUACGUCAAAGGUCAGGCAGCUUUGCCGGCAGCCCAUCAUCAAAAUGAAGCUCACACUGCAUGCUGUGCCCGGAACAAUGACAUCUUUGGUCUCUGAGCCGGGAGUCUCGUGUCUCCUUCCAACAUUCAUGAACCAGUGGCAGGUUAAUGAGUCAGCUUGCAAGUAGGGUGACAUCUCAGACAAUCAACAAUUCUUGACACAUGGCAAUAGGCAAUUAGGUCUAGGUGGGCUUUAGAUAGCAUUUAUUUUAAUUAAAAAAAUUUUUUAAUGCUUAUUUAUUUUUGAGACAGAGACAGUAUAUAUGGGGGAAGGGAAGAGAGAGAGGGAGAUGCAGGGUCCGGAACAGGCUCCAGGCUCUGAGCUGUCAGCACAGAGCCCGACGCGGGGCUCAAACGCACAAACCGUGAGAUCACGACCUGAGCCCAGGUCAGACACUCAACUGACUGAGCCUCCCAGGCACCCCAUUAAUUUUUAUGUUAGAGAUGAGGAAAUUGAAGGCCAAGGUGAUUUGCUCCAGGACACAGAGCAAGCUGGUAACCAAGAAAAGACUUUGUCCCAGGUGCUCCCAACUCCUCUAGAACUUUCUCCACUAUUGCAGGCUGUGCUUUGGCUUAACUGUAGGAGGAGUUUCAGUAGAUGAUGAUGGCAGCGGGAUUUAUGGAGUGCUAUGCCAUGCCAGCCAGGCGCACCUCCAGGAGUUCCACGAGCACUUGAAUCUCAUUUAAACCUCUUCUUCUAUCGUUAUCUCGAGUUUGCAGACGAGGAAACUGAGGCACAUAGAGGCGAAGUGCUGGGUCUGAACCCAGGCAGCCUCGUUCCAGCAUCUGUGGUCUUAAUCGCCAUCCUGUACUGUUGCAGGCUCAUUAAAGUCGGAGAGCCGUGUUGUUGGAAGUGAGCGUGGAAACCUUUCGAAGUUUCUAUUUGUAUUGGAC
Long non-coding RNA from Acinonyx jubatus (cheetah), 11106 nucleotides. RefSeq lists it as uncharacterized. NCBI's taxonomy places the organism in Eukaryota, Metazoa, Chordata, Mammalia, Carnivora, Felidae. The record is from RefSeq and is a predicted model, not a curated record. The transcript is spliced from 4 exons.